ACACGGACCAAGGAGCCUAACGUGUACGCAAGUCUCUUAGAUUUAAAAAGCUAAGUGGCAUAACGAAAGCAAGUAAUGUUAUUAUGUACAAUUUUAACAUGGUUACGAUGUUCGGUUUGAAAAGACUGAAUAGCAGUAACAAUGCGGUUUGUAUAAGCCGUAUUAGAGCGUAUACGGUAGUACCCGAAAGAUGGUGAACUAUGCUUGAGCAAGGUGAAGCCAAAGGAAACUUUGGUGGAGGCCUGCAGCAGUUUUGACGUGCAAAUCAAUUGUCAGACUUGAGUAUAGCGGCGAAAGACUAAUCGAACCAUCUAGUAGCUGGUUUCCUCCGAAAUUUCCCGCAGGAUAGCAAGCAUCGUAUAUACCAUUUAAACCUGUUACAGUCUCAAUAGAAGGUAACGGGGCGUUAAUUGACCUUGUCCUUUUCUUAAACUCGGUCAAUGGGUUUUUUUGAUUACAUGCUAACUGCAUGUAAAUUAAAGUUUAAUGGUGGUGCUUAGUGGGCCAUUUUUGGUAAGCAGAACUGGCGAUGCGGGAUGAACCGUACACAGAGUUAAGGUGCCAAAGUUUAAUACGCUAAUCAGAUCCCACUAAAGAUGUUGUUCGCUUAAGACAGUAGGGCGGUGGCCAUGGAAGUCGGCAUCCGCUAAGGAGUGUGUAACAACUCACCUACCGAAGCGUUCAACUCUGAAAAUGGAUGGCGCUUAAGCGUUACACUGAUACUCUGUCGUAGUAGUAAUUCCAUAAUAAUACAUAAUUUAAAACCGAACGUUUUAAAGUGUAUAUUAAACUUCUACGAGUAGGAGGAAUGUGAUGACAGUGUUGAAGUUUUGAGCGUAAGCUCGAAUGGAACUGUUGUUAGUACAGAUCUUGGUGGUAGUAGCAAACAAACAAGUGACAACCUUGUUGACCGACGUGGAUAAGGGUUCCAUGGGAACAGUAAUUGGCCAUGGGUUAGUCGAUCCUGAGAAGUGACGUGAAAACGUUUUCGUAAGAAGCAUUUCUUGUAAAUGCACUUCGAAAGGGAAUGAGAUUAAUAUUUCUCAACCAUGUUCAUGCAAUUUAAGCGGUAACGCAAUCGAACUCAGAGACAUCUGCCAAAUUCCUGGAUAGAGAUAUCUUCUCUAUUUUAAGGUGUGCUGAAGUGCCUUGAAUCAGUUUAGCUGGAGACAGGCAUAUAUGCACCGAAUAGCAUUGCGCUUCAAGUAAUGUAAACAGUGUAUUUUGGUUGAUCCUUGAAAAUCUGGGUUAGUAUUUUAAGGCAUGACAUGAUCGUACCUAGCUCCGCAACAGGUAUCCUAGGUGAACAGCCUCUGGUCUAUUAGAAGAAUGUAGGUAAGGGAAGUCGGCAAACCUGAUCUGUAUCUUUGGUACAAAGGUUGGCUCUGGCGUGUUUGCUUGAUUUGCUUUGACAAGUAAAUUGGAAUAGAUUACUUGGACUGGUUGUGGUAACAUGACUGGCACUUGUUUUCAGUUCUUAUUGAAAGUUUUAGUGAGUCUUGCAAUUAAAACAAUUAGUCAGAACUAUCAUUGACUGUUCGGAAUCUGACUGUUUAAUUAAAACAUAGCAUUGAGAUGACCGGUGACCCGGUGUUGACUCAAUGUGAAUUCUGCCCAGUGCUCUGAAUGUCAACGUGUAGAAAUUCAAUGAAGCGCGGGUAAACGGCGGGAGUAACUAUGACUCUCUUAAGGUAGCCAAAUGCCUCGUCAUCUAAUUAGUGACGUGCAUGAAUGGAUUAACGAGAUUCCAUCUGUCCCUACUUACUAUCUAGCU
This 1774-nucleotide ribosomal RNA is filed under the name Croton tiglium. RNAcentral describes it as "eukaryotic LSU rRNA". It matches the Rfam family "Eukaryotic large subunit ribosomal RNA", at positions 659 to 2361 of the family's 3401-position model. The record is from RNAcentral. Lineage: Eukaryota; Viridiplantae; Streptophyta; Magnoliopsida; Malpighiales; Euphorbiaceae.